This 248-nucleotide ribosomal RNA is filed under the name uncultured bacterium. RNAcentral's name for it is "partial 16S ribosomal RNA". It matches the Rfam family "Bacterial small subunit ribosomal RNA", at positions 524 to 769 of the family's 1533-position model. The record is from RNAcentral.
UACGUAGGGUGCAAGCGUUAAUCGGAAUUACUGGGCGUAAAGCGUGCGCAGGCGGUUUUGUAAGUCUGACGUGAAAUCCCCGGGCUCAACCUGGGAAUUGCGUUGGAGACUGCAAGGCUGGAGUCUGGCAGAGGGGGGUAGAAUUCCACGUGUAGCAGUGAAAUGCGUAGAGAGUGUGGAGGAACACCGAUGGCGAAGGCAGCCCCCUGGGUCAAGACUGGACGCUCAUGCACGAAAGCGUGGGGAGC